UUUGGUGGCGAUAGCGAAGAGGUCACACCCGUUCCCAUACCGAACACGGUAGUUAAGCUCUUCAGCGCCGAUGG
Molecule: ribosomal RNA, 74 nt
Filed under: Bacillus atrophaeus
Lineage: Bacteria; Bacillati; Bacillota; Bacilli; Caryophanales; Bacillaceae
Source: RNAcentral